RNAcentral lists this long non-coding RNA (732 nucleotides) under Oryzias javanicus (javanese ricefish). RNAcentral describes it as "lncRNA (ENSOJAG00000019232.1)". Lineage: Eukaryota; Metazoa; Chordata; Actinopteri; Beloniformes; Adrianichthyidae. The record is from RNAcentral.
AUGUUGCAACGACAAAAGCAUCAUUCGGUCUGGUGGACUUCCUUCUUUCUUCAAGUCUGGUGGGUCAUUCAGUUCCGCUUUCAUCGCUACAGAGGAAUGGAAGUCGUGGUUGGACUGUUGUUUCUCCUUCUAGGAGUCGCUCAGGGUAUAGAAUCUUUUUGUGACUCAAGACACGAUAAUGCUCAGUGCUAUGGAGCUGAUGGUGGAACUGUGUUCAUACAGCUGAUGAACGACGCCUCACAGACAGACGUUAACUUUGAAUGGAGGAAGGAUAACGUGACAAUCCUCAAAGGGAGGAAUAAUAAAGUACUGUCUAAUGUAUUAGUAAACAGAUCUUCAUUUUUUUUCAAUAAUGGAACAUUUAUGAUUAAAAACCUGAGUAAAAGUGACAGUGGUGAAUAUAAACUCACACUGUUUAACUCAGAUGGAAAGAGAACAGAAACUCGGGCCACAUGGUUACAUCUUAACGAAAAGAAUCCUCUGUCCAUCCUGGCGGUUUUCCUGUCACUUUUGCUAAUCUUCUUGAUCACUGGAACAAUCGUCUUUUGUGUCUUGAAAAGAAAACAAAAACAAGUCACAGAUGAUCAGCACAUAAUCUAUGCUGACGUUCAGAUGAAGCAGCAGAAUCAGAAGAGAAAAAUCCCUGAAAAAUUAGAUGUGGAAGUGGAGUACAGUCAAGUGAAGUUUGCAGAGCGACCUCGUCAGAAUGAGCUCACAAAUCAUGAGGCGUAA